UGAGGUCCAAAUAGCUGAAGAGGUGGAGACAUUACAGAAACCAACUGGAGCCCCCAGAACUGGCAGACACCUGCCUGAUGAUGCCAUGGGCUCCCAGCUUCUUGGCUAUGUGGUCCUUUGGCUCCUAGGAACAGGCCCCUUGGAAGCCCAAGUGACCCAGAACCCAAGAUACCUCAUCACAGUGACUGGAAAGAAGCUGACGGUGACUUGUUCUCAGGAUAUGAACCAUAAUUACAUGUCCUGGUAUCGACAAGACCCAGGGCUGGGCCUAAGGCAGAUCUACUAUUCAAAUAAUGUUGAGCUGGUUGAUGAGGGAGAUGUUCCUGAAGGGUACAACGUCUCUCGAAAAGAGAAGAGGAAUUUCCCCCUGAUCCUGGAGCGGCCCCGCCCCGACCAGACCUCUCUGUACCUCUGUGCCAGCAGUUUAUCCACAGCGCUGCACAGCCAGCUGCUCUCUGCACAAAAACGGAGGGCAGCUGCAAGAACAAGAAGAUUCCUCCUUCAGGAGACCCUCUCUGACCAACAGGAAAAACUUCCUCCAUCAUCGCACAGAAGCUCUUCCCCACUCCCCAGCCUCAGGGACUCUGCAGUGCAGCUGCUCUGCAGAACCAGGGGUCCAUCCUCUACCUGCUGUACCAAUGAGCUUUCAAGGUUCAGCAGGACAAGCUAACUGCGUUAGGCCUAGUGCCAGGGUACACUCUCCAAUCCUUUCUUCUUGUGGAGCUUAAAUCUUUAAAUUCGACUAAGCUAUUGCCCAAACUGAAGACUCCAUUUCCAAUCUAAUGGCUCUCAACGAUAUUCGGUCCUGUAUUCCAGGUCCUAUUCAGGAGGUUUUGUCACUUGGAGGAACACCAUGUUUGGGGUUAUUGACGAAAUCCAACACCUCCUAUUUUCUUCCUCUCAGCAGACGGUCCUACCAUCCGUCCAAAUGCCCAAGCCAGAGACGCAGGACUGAUCUUCACCGUCUCUCUGACUUUCUCCUUCCAUACCAAAUCCACCACCCCCCCAUCCUGCAUUUUUCUAAGUACUAAAUUCCUCAACAAUUUUAGUAACUUUUCUAACUUCACUGAUCUCACCUGGAUUCCUUUAGCCACCUUUCAAGUAGCCGCCCUCUCUGCAAGCUUGCGACCUGCCCCCACCUACAAACACUCCCUCAAGCUUAAAACCCUUUGACUUAUUUCUAUUAACUAGCUAAAGUCGCAAGUUCAUCUUAGUUUGCAAAUCCCUCAGCCCUCUCCAUGAUGUGACCUUUGCACACCCGCCCACCAGUCUAACGCUGACUUCCCCAUCCUUCAAGUACCACAAGUGCCUGCAUCUACUCCAGAAAUUUUCCACUUCUCACAGGUCCCCAAAUAUGUCCACUGCUGACUCACUUCUGGAUCUUCAUUUACAACGGUCACUCUACCUAGAAUAUCAUCUCUGUGUCUGGUAUUCAUCUGUUUUGCAGCUGCCCUUUAUGUGCAGAGAGCAGUUGGCUGUGCAGCCCUGUGAAGAAACUCGUGGUGCAGACAUACAGAGAGGUCUGGUUGGGACUGGGUGACUCCAGGAUCAGGGGGAAAUUCUCCUUCAUAGACCAAUUUAGAAGUCACUUCCUCCAAGACUAUUUCCUUGAAUCACUGACUGCGUCGUUUCUCUGCUGUGGGGUCUUGUAACAGCCUGAACAGAGCUAACACCAGCACUGAGACACCACCAUGAACUCACCAGCCGUUGACUUCUCUGUUCUAUAGCUUUUUAUCUCCUUGGAAUAGGUAGGUCACGGGUAGAGGUAUGAUGUCCUUGAACCUGGUUUGCUGGAGCCUACAUUAAGCCUUUUCCUGGUGGUUACACAUCAGGAUAUUUCCCACAUUCUCUCUUUUUGUCCACAAUGUCCAUGAAUGCUGGUGUCACUGAAAUUUCAGUUUAUCAAGCUUCAGAGUCAGAAAAGAAAGUUUUCUAAUACAACCAGAAUAUGUUUUAUGACCUAUAUGUGCUGAGCCAGACAAGAGCCAGGAAUGAAGCUGCAAGUAAUCUAUUUCUCAGUUGGUGCUUAGAGAACAAACAAAUAGAAAGUCUCUAAUAGACCUGUGUCUCUUGAGAUAAGACUGAGCAUUUCUUACAACCUCCAGACAUCCAGCCCUUCGCAGCCCUCCCGGCUGUUAACCUGCAGCACUACACAGCCACUUCCUCUCUGCACAGAAAAGGCUGCCACAGGGAGAGAUGGUCUUACCUUCCUGAGCCUGCCCUUACCAGAGGAAGCCACUGCCACCACAGAAGCUCUCAGGAGCCUUUCCCAUCCUUGCACUGAGACUUUCAGAGCUCUGGGAGCCCUGGUCUGUAAAAGUUUGUCCCCGGCCAGGUGCGGUGGCUCAUGCCUGUAAUCCCAGCACUUUGGGAGACUGAGGCAGGU
Molecule: non-coding RNA, 2386 nt
Organism: Cebus imitator (Panamanian white-faced capuchin)
Lineage: Eukaryota; Metazoa; Chordata; Mammalia; Primates; Cebidae
Source: the annotation of a RefSeq genome assembly